This is a transfer RNA of Camelus ferus (Wild Bactrian camel), 73 nucleotides long. It matches the Rfam family "tRNA". From Rfam's summary of the family: Transfer RNA (tRNA) molecules are approximately 80 nucleotides in length. Their secondary structure includes four short double-helical elements and three loops (D, anti-codon, and T loops). NCBI's taxonomy places the organism in Eukaryota, Metazoa, Chordata, Mammalia, Artiodactyla, Camelidae. The record is from Rfam.
GAGGGUAUAGCUCAGUGGUAGAGUGCGUGCUUAGCAUGCAUCGAGGUCCUGGGCUCAAUUCCCAUUACCUCCA